RNAcentral lists this long non-coding RNA (4707 nucleotides) under Homo sapiens (human). RNAcentral describes it as "HSALNT0089435". The record is from RNAcentral. Lineage: Eukaryota; Metazoa; Chordata; Mammalia; Primates; Hominidae.
CUCUGGGUCUCGCACGCAGCAGCUGCAGACGCUGCCCGGCGCGGUGGGGCUGUGAGCAAAACGGCCCGCCGGUGUGGUUGCCCAGACUGUGCUGGGCCCUCCUAGGUGGAUGGCCCUGCCCCAGCCUAACUUCUGUACCCCAGCAUAACCUCCAAAGUAACAGCCGUGCCCUGGGAGCCUGUUCAACACUGAACAUAUCCCACAAUAACACUGUUCCAGCGUCGCUGGUAAAAAGCAGAAAUGGCUUCGCUGGAGGCAUCGACAAAUCUAAUGCAGUAACCUCAUUUUACAGAAGAGAACUCUAAGAGGAUAACUAACUUGGCCAAGAUCACAUGAUGUUUCUGGAUGAGAUUAGCAUUCAAAUUCGUGGACUCAUUAAAGUAGAUGGCUCUCUCCAAUAUGGGUGGGCAUCAUCCAAUCUGUUGAAGGCGUGAAGAGAACAAGAGAAGGAGGAAGGAAGAAUUCACCUUUUUUCUUGCUGCCCACCUGCUUGGGCUGGGACAUUGCAUCUCACCUUCUCCAGCCUUUGGAUGAGGAUUUACACCCUGGUUCUCAGGCCUUCAGGCUCUAACUGGAGCUACACUAUCAACUUUCCUGGGCCUCCAGAUUGCAGAUGGUGGAUCACGGUACUUUUUAGCCUCCAUCAUAAUAUGAGAAAAAAGAGGCACAGUGAAGCUAAAUAUAUUGGCUAAAGAUCACAAAGCUAAGAAGAUUAUCAAGGUUAUCUGUGCUCAAUGUGUGCAUCUCAGAUCAGCAGCAUCAGCAUCACCUGGGAGCUUGUUAGAGCUGGAGACUCUCAGGCUCCACGGCAGACUUCCUGAAUCAGAAGCUACAAUUUAACAGGAUCCUCGGGUGAUCUGAAAAUGCAAUAAAGUUUGGGAAGCACUGCUGUUGGUCAUUAGACAAUCUAAUGAACUAAGACUUUUGCCGAGCAUCUGAGUUGAAAUUUUUCAAGAUGAAAAGUUGCUAAAGAAAGAGAAAGGGAAGCGGUUUGCUCCAGUAUUCCUCUUUCCACCUUCCCACUGACUGGGAAGCGGCGGUUAGCAGAGCCACAGUCUUGGAUUAGAGAUAAGAGGGACAUGUUGAGGAAGGUGGAGUCUCCCCCACAGCCCUGGACCAGGCUCCAGUGCCAACAAAAGCCAAGAAGAACCUCUGGAGCAAUCAGUCUAAAUUAGUUGAUAACGUCUUCCAGGAGACCUACGGCCAUCCUACUGAUAUGAACCAGAUCAUACCUGCCCUGAUGGGAUGCCAGAGAAAGACUGCUGCAAGGUACGCGCCACUCACAGACCUCUCCAUUUAUCUCACUGAUGCAAAGGACCCUGAGUAGGGAUCCUCUGGAAACAGAACAGAGGGAAGAAGAUACCUUCCCUGAAGCCCAGAUGUUCCAGAAGCCUGCGCCUCAUUCACAAAGUCACCCCAAAAAUGCCCUAGAGUUUGGAGUUUUGAAGAAGCGGGAAGAAGGCCUGAGUAAGGGCCUGGGAACCAAGUUAGAUCCUACUUCAGCAUCAGCACAUGCCAGCGAUGGUGCACACAGGUGGAGAGCGGCCUGCCCGUCUUUUCCAUGGUGCCCACAGACCCAUUUAGGAUGAAAGAUCAGAAAAUUCUCUCCAUGUCACCGCUUCUGAAACAUGUGAAUAUUAAUAUUUGGUGCCUAAAAGGCCAUGGCAAAUUUUCAUUGGUUUUAUCUUAUUCAUGAUUAUAGAGUUGAAAGAAUACAUAUUCCCAUGGGGAUCAAUGAAGACAUUCUCAUUUUGAAUGAAGUAGAAUAUAAGUUGUAAAGAUAUAGAAUUUUCCUGAACUGAACCUUGAACCAAAAAUCCCCUCAAUUAACCUGGAACUAAACACAGUCCCUGAAGAUAACAAGGAGUUUCAGGAUGCCACAGGGCUGUCUGUGCAGUAUGGGGCUUCUUGCUCUAUCUCUGGUAUCUGAGGCAGAUAGGCUACUCAGGCCCCUCUCUGGUCUCAAGGUGGGCUGGCUGAGAUGUCAGUUUCUUCCUCAGUGACAGCUUGGGUACAGUAUGUGUAAACUGAUUGUCAGCUGAGCUGAAGGGACUCUGCCCAUAUUGGAGUGUUCUACAAGAAGAGGUGUCAAACCUAAAGGUCUAAAAUUACUAUGAAAGGAGUAUUGGAAACCACUGGGACAAUUGUGAUCACAACUGGUGGUAGCCUUCUCGUUUGGGUGAGAAAGACAGAAAGGAGGAAGAUGUGUUAGUCAAGGUUCUCUAGAGGGACAAAACUAAUAGGAUAUAUGUAUAUAUGAGAGGGAGUUUAUUAAGGAGAAUUGACUCACUUGAUCACAAGGUAAAGUCCCAAGAUAGGCUGUCUGCAAGUUGAGGAGCAAGGAAGUCAUUGGUGGAUUGUUCUGGGUACCAAAACCUCAAAAGUAGGGAAAUCGACAGUGCAGCCUUCAGUCUGUGGUCAAAGGCUCGAGGGGCCCUGGCAGACCACUGGUGUAAGUCCAAGAGUCCCAGAAGCUGAAGAACUUGGAGUCUGAUGUUUGAGGGCAGGAAGCAUCCAGCACAGGAGAAAGACGGAUGCUGGAAGACUUAGCAAGUCUGUUCUUUCCAAUUUCUUCUGCCUGCUUUUAUUCUAGCCAUGCUGGCAGCUGAUUAGAUGGUGCCCUCCCAAAUUGAGGGUGGCUGUGCCUCUCCCAGUCCACUGACUCAAAUGUUAAUCUCCUUUGGCAACACCCUCACAGACACACCCAGGAACAAUACUUUGCAUCCUUCAUUCCAAUCAAGUUGACACUCAAUAUUAACCAUCACAGAAGGAGAAUUUCAGGCUGAGUCCAAACACUAUGGCCCCAGCCCCAGCUUCCCCUUUCUGGGUUGAAUAACCAGACUGAGCCUAAGAAAAGGAAAAGAGUUGACUUUCUCCCAAAAGGCCUGCAGCGGGUUAGAAAGCAAUGGUUUGGGGACCAUACUGAGUGCCUAGGAUGCUCUGGACCACAAAGCUUGAAGUCAAAUUGUUCAUGCACUUGUUUCAUGAUAGGAAGAGAGAGAGAGAGAGAGAGAGAGAGAGAGAAAUUUCCUUUCCUUGAAGAAUGGCAAAACACGUCUCUUGUUCUGGGGGCUAUAUCUUGAAGGGUAUCUGAUCUCCCCCUCAUGGGAGGAACUAGAAUGCCCUAAGGCAGCCGUGGCUCCUGGAGCUGAGAGAUCUUUCUGACACUUUGUGAGAGCUGCAAGGCUAAGUCUGGAGCCAGAAAAGUCCAUGUGGACAAGUGCAGAGCAAGCAGAUCUGAGACACAUGUGGGAGCAAGCUGGACAUGUCCAAAAGUCAGAGGAAGCAAGAGCAGACAUGCAUGAGCAGGCAGAUGAGGCUGGUGCCCAGGCAGCAGGCUGAGGCUCUGGCUGGGCUUUGGAUGCUCCUGAGAGUCCAGUUAGAGACCAGUGAGCAAACCCACAGUGAACUCUUAUUCCUCACGCAGCAGGACGAGGGAUUAAGCACAAAGCCUUAAAGGUCUGAGUGUCUCUUUAUCCUGACCUCAGGAAAGAGAGGCAAGUAUCAUGUUUCUAAAAGUCUGAGAAGUCUUCACAUGACAGCCUACACCAAAAGAACUCAAAUGCACAUCCACUGCAUACACGCAUGUGUGCACACAUAUACAUGUGUACACAUGCAUGCCCACACACAACCCUCUGGAAGAGGAAGUAAAGAGACUUUAUGUUUUCAGCCCCUCUUGAGGAAACUUAAACUAAGUCUUUCUGUGGGGUUAGUGGUGGAGACAGAGAGGGUCUGGGGUCACCGAGGCCGAGGUGGCUGGACCCAGAGGGUAGAGCUGAGGGGAUCCCCUGAGACUGGGAAGAUGGAGCAGAAGCAGAUGGCAGAUGGCAGCAGGUGAGAGCAGACUGGAUUUCUCCUAAAUCACCAGAUCCAGCCAACCUUUCUUUCCUUAGGGACACCUCUAGAUCCCAUUCCAAAUGAACUCUUUCUCUGACCUUUCACCUCAAUUCAGAAUUUGGGAAAUUUAGCCAUGAUCUUAGGAACACAGAGGCUUGAAACAAUCUUUUCUAACCACCCGUUUGUUCAGACUGUGUAAGUUCUGCUUCUGCAUCCAGUGUCAACACCCAAGAACCAUUUUAAAGGGGAGCCAUCCUUUGAAAUUAAACUUCUUUUAAUAAUAAAGACAGAUUUCAGGGUUGACAUAAAAGAUAGCCACAGUAAAGCCAAUCCUCCAGUGUAUAACAUUUUUCAAAGUUUCCUUCCUCUUCAUUGCUGGUGUUCAUGUACAGUCCAGAGUUAGUCUACAUUAAAUUAUAGAUUGUUUUCAGCAAUAAUGCAAACAUUUGGAAGCCUUCAAACUCUCUGAUAACUAACUUCUACAUUCUCUCUGCUAUUAUUAUAUAGAAAGGGAAAUUUUACCUGAUGCUGUUAAAGUCCUCACGAACAUAGUGAUCCGAAUUGGCUGAAGUGGAAAACUAAAUGUUAGCUGAUUUUCAAAACAAGAUUUCCACUCUGAAUUCCCAUUUUUCACAUGUGAUCAUAUGCCUUGUUGUGAAGUUGAACUAAAAAGAAACUCCAUGCCCACUGGCUUAAUGCUAGAAGAUAAUCUACAGCAUAGUAAUUUCUUAGACUUCACUUUAUUAGCCACUAAACUUGGAAUGAUUAUUUCUAUGUUCAAUUAUUAAGUCUAUAUCUCCAUUUCUUAAAAAGGUCUGAGGCAGCCCCUUUGAAUAUUAAUACGCAUUUAUUUUCACCUCUCAAAUAAAA